Molecule: long non-coding RNA, 1601 nt
Filed under: Brassica rapa (field mustard)
Lineage: Eukaryota; Viridiplantae; Streptophyta; Magnoliopsida; Brassicales; Brassicaceae
Description: long non-coding RNA (BRAP_LNC008112)
Source: RNAcentral
AUGACUUGGUUUGGGUUUAGGAUUGACCUUUAAGCUAAUUGGUAGUUGAGUAAACUGACCAAGGCUAAUGUGAUUCGACCAGACAAGUGUUAGAUUGGUUUUAGACCAAUGGUUAAUUAGAAAAUAAUCCGCUGCGUAUCUGUUGAAAGGAUCUAAGCUAUUAAUGACUAGGGAAGUCUUUAGCUAAGGUUUAAGUUAGCCCUCGCCUGUGGGCGAUAUUAUAAAUAAAGGGCAAAAUUAAGAGGUUCGGCCAGGAAGUGGACCGAGCGACGUGAGGCAUCGACCGCGGCCUAGGCGGCCGGGAUCGGGUCUUACAGGAACUCUCCUUGGACGGUUGAUGGAUCGAUCAUUAUCAUAAGACUCUUCUCGGAUUUCUAGGUCGGACCGGCUGUUCCUCCUUGGAUGGUCACGUCUGGUUCUGGUUCGUGACUGAGUUGGACGGCCCUGAAGUUCAUCAAGCCUCUGAUGGAUCGCCUCCAAACCUGUAUUCAACACGUUAGACAUAGAAUCAUUGAGAGCACGCAUUUGCAAGUUAGAUAAUCCGGCAUAUGAAUUUCCGGGUCGGUUUCUUUCUUCUUCACUAUCCAUGGUUACCUGAAAACUUAAACAAGGUAAAGUUAGAUUAAAAACCUCACACACUCAGGUGUUUAUCCUCACCCACACACGUGUUUCACUCAAUUUUUGUUGGUAAUCACACAAGAGAGUUCCUCCCAAAGUUCUAAGAGAGCAAACUAGAUCACCCAAUGAGCAAAUCCAAGUGAACCAAAGAUCAAGAGAGAAAGAUAAGAGAUUUAGAGGGGAACCCGCCUUAACCACCUCAAAGACCGGAUUUCUCUUCGGCCAGCAGGCUUUCUCUUCCACCACCACACCACAAACAAAUCAAACUUUGGAAUAUCCUUUUUUUUUUAUACUUUUCUUUUUUUUUUUAUAUAGAUCUUUCUCUUUUUUUUUAUAUGGGGGUAAUGAGGGGCCCGGGUUCAAGAUAGAGAGAUAAGAAAUUUAGAUGAAGAAUAUGGAAGAUGAAAUGAAAUGGAUUGAAAAAGAGUUACCGAGAGAGUGGCUCUGAUACCACUUGAUAGAACCAAAAUAAGGAUCACUCUUUCGGUAAGGUUGAUAUGAACUCAGAUCCGAGAGGAUUGAGAACUGAUGGAUCGAGGGGUGACACUAAGGGUUGCGGAAUAGCCCAAAGAUACUACCAUAGAUUCGAAGGUUGCCGGAUGUGACGCACCGGUCCAACACAACGAAGUGGUUCGCUUGGAGAUGACCUCACCAGAGAAGUAUGAAUGUUCUAAGCAAAGAACAAUGAGAGAAGACUCAAAAGAAGCAAAGGAAAAUCGAUGUGAAUUUAUUAAGGGGGGUCAUCACAUACUUAUAAGGUUUGUGAGUCAAAGAAACAUAAAGACAUUUGUGGGAAAAGACAACAUAGAAGAUAGAAAUGAAUGAAAACAAGACAUAGAAACUAGAAAUGAAGACUUUGACUAAAGACUGGUCAAGGUGCGGAUUCUUGUGUUGACUGGUCCAGAUUCACAAAGAUGUCCAGGUUCAUUCUGUGGUGAUCAGGUCGUCCGCGGUAAGGAGCAGGAUGGAUGUAAGGCUGCCCG